This 253-nucleotide ribosomal RNA is filed under the name uncultured bacterium. RNAcentral's name for it is "partial 16S ribosomal RNA". It matches the Rfam family "Bacterial small subunit ribosomal RNA", at positions 524 to 776 of the family's 1533-position model. The record is from RNAcentral.
UACGGGGGGGGCAAGCGUUGUUCGGAAUUACUGGGCGUAAAGGGCUCGUAGGUGGCCAACUAAGUCGGACGUGAAAUCCCUCAGCUUAACUGGGGAACUGCGUCCGAUACUGGAUGGCUUGAGUUUGGGAGAGGGAUGCGGAAUUCCAGGUGUAGCGGUGAAAUGCGUAGAUAUCGGAAGGAACACCUGUGGCGAAAGCGGCUCACUGGACCACUACUGACGCUGAGGCACGAAAGCUAGGGGAGCAAACAGG